UUAUCUUAUUCAAAAUACAUAAAAUUUUAAUUGGCUAUUAAUACUAUUAAAUAGUGUAAUUGAAUAGUAUAAUAUUGAUUAAUAAGACAAUAAUUGCUUAUUAAUACUUAUCUAUAAUUUUAUGUGUUGGGGUUAUAUUAAGAAUAUACAUACGCUAUUAUACUUCUGUAUGAAUGUGUAACAUUAUCUCUACUGUAAUUAUAUAAAAAUACAACAUAUGAUCUAUUCUUCUGCAAUUAUGUUGUUAUUAUCAUUAUUCUUAUUUGCAUUUUUUAGUAAAAAUUUCCGUGAAAAUUCAGUAUAAAAUUAUUUAAAAGUUUAUAUGGAUGUACAAAAAAUUUGGACUACAAAAAUACGUAAUAUAUUUUCUAUUCAUAUAAUUUAUUAGUGCAUUUAUUAAUAAAGUACACUAUAUAUUGCUAUUAUAUGUGACUAUUUCUAGUUAUUAAGGGAAUUAUAAAUGAUAGAUUACAUAUAAAUUACUAUAAAUAUAAUUAUAUAAUACAAUUAAAGAUUAUUUUACAAUAUGAUAUGACAAAGAGUUGCAUAAUAUUAUAUGAAUUACGUUAUGUUUUUGUAUUAUAAGGUAGUAUAACUUUUUGUAAUUUAUGGAUAUUAUAUUUAAUAACAUUUAUAUAUUUUUAUAUUUUGUGUUACAAUAUAAUAUCAAUUAUUAUAAUUGCUAUGUUGAUUAUGUAUAAUGAUAGAUUCUAUUGCAAUAUAGUAUAAUACAAUGGUAUAUUAAUUCUUUUCUGAUCUAUAAUAUAUUCUUUACCUUUCUAAUUUUGCUCCUUACUGCUUAUUUUAGCUUGAUUUUUACUGUUUUUUUCCCCAAACUGUUUCUAUGAAACAAGAAAUAAAAUUAUUUAAAAUCAUUAUCUGUAUAAUUUUAUAGAGAAAAUAUAAAUCAUCUGCUGUUGUAAGUAAUUAUAAAACUAACAUGUAAAUUUAUUUUCUACUAUGAUUAAUACUGAAAUAAAUUAAAUAGCCACAGCAUUCAUUAUUAUAUUACUUUAAGUAUUUUUAAGAUUUAUGGAUUUGGAUUAAAUAUUUGCUGAUACUUCUAUCAAAAUUAAGUACAAAACAAUAGAAAAAAUACUACUAUAUAUUUAAAUAUAAGUAUUGUGUAUCACAGUAUCACAAUUAGAGAUCUGUAUAAUAAUAACAUAGAAAACUAUAUAACUCAGCUAUAUUAUGCAUAACAAGUAUAAUAAUACCAUAACAGGUUAAAAUGUAAUUGAGAUUUUUUUUACUGAUAUGAGUCUUAUAUUAUUGAUAUUUUAUCAGUGUGCUAAUAAGUAGUAAUAUACUAAAGUAUAUUACAUAAUACUAUUAAUAUAUCAUCAACACAGGGUACAAUAAUAUAAGUAUCUAGUUAUAUUGUUGUAUUAAGGAAUAGUAUUUUAUAUAAUUAAUAUUAGUUAAUAAUACACCAUUAUUUCUAACAAUUAACACAUUGGUAUAUAUUUUAAUCACUUGUUAAUAGAAUGCAAAUGUUGUUUAUUAACAUAACAAACUGUAAAUAGAAUUUCUAUUAUGAUUAUAUAUAAAAGUAGACUUUAUAAAUUGGAUCCUCCAGUCAUAUCUUUAAUGUAAUUUUGGUACAAUUUCUACUGCAAAAUAGGAAAAUUCAUAUGUAAAUACAUACAGAAUUGAUAUAAAAAUAUCAAUAUAAAAACAUAAAAGCCCCAUUUAUAUAACCUCCUUGGUUAAUAUAAAAAUUAACUGAGGCCUCCUUUUUCCUCCAUUUUCCCAGCCCUCUCCAGUGCCAGCUACUGGGGCUGCGAGUUCCGGCUGUGUUCCCACAGAACCAUGACGGCUCCUCCAGUGCGUAGCUGCAGCUGCUGCUCACCUCCUGUGGCCCUGCUGACACUCAGGUGUCAGUGAUGCUCUACGAUGGCUCUGUCACCCAGAACAUCACCCUGAGGCCAAAUGUCACUGUGCCCUUGCCCCUCUCUGCUAACCUGGAACUCACUGGAAGCUGCACUUCCCAUAAAACCUUGGUGGUCCAGACGAGCACUGAUAUCUCAAUGAUGUCUGUCAGCACCAUGGGCUACACUGUGGGUGCCACUGCCCUCCUACCUGUGGAGAGCCUGGGCAACAGGUGAACAGCCACCGCUCACACCUCCCCAUCUCCUCCCAUGGGAAGCUCCACAUGCACCAGAAGGGUAAAUCCAUGCUGAUCCAGUCAAAUUUCAAGCUGAAAGUCCUCUACAAGUGGGAUGAUCAUGUAGUAAUCAAACUUCCAGCUGCUCUUUCUGGAAAAGUCUGCGGAAUGUGCAGGAACAACAGGGACCUCUGGGAUCAUGCACUCUGUCUUGAUGGUAAACAGCUCUCACUUGCCUGCCCAACAGCACCCACAGCCUGCCUCCCUACCUGCAACAUCCCCACUGUGUCAUCCCGCUGUUCCACUGUCAACACCUGCGUGGACACCUGUGUGGCCUUGAUGCCAACACCUGCGCUGCCCCCUCUGAAUGUGGCUGUGUCCUUCAAGGUCUCUUCUAUGGCCUUGGCGAGGAAUUUUGGAGUGACCUCACUUGCACCCAGCACUCUGCGUGUGAUGCGGAGCGGCGGCAGGCAGUGUGCCAGGAUUCUGGUUGUACCACUAAGGAGGAAUGCGAGGUGGAGUAGGGGAUCUAGGAUUGUUAUCCCAAAAUUUCUGCGGUCUGCACCACUGUUGGAGCCACUCACUAUGAGACCUUUAAUCAAAGGAGGUGUAUCUUCCAGGGGAUGUGUGUCUUACCUGCUGGUUGGGUUGUGUGAGGACACCCAAAAUUUGGUGGGAUUCCAGGUGUUGGUGCAGAAUGGCCACCAAAGUGACAACCUCACAUUGUCCAUUGCCGUGGUGACAGUUAAAAGUCUACAACAAAACCAUCAGCAUCAGCAGGAACAUCGUGGAAAAAUCAUGACUAAUGAGAGUUGUUUGCGGCGGUUUGGCAGAAGCUGCUGAGGCCACCGCCUUCCCAAGAGUGUCUAAUCUAGGAAGGCAUAUCCCAGUGAGAACCAGAUGUGAGCACCACCCAGUUCACGUCACCAGAUGGUAUGUUGCAGCCACAUCACUGCCAAAUGUCUUUGCCAACCCCCUGUGUGGGCCUUGUGGGAACUACCUUGGUGCUGCCAGCAACAACAUGGUGAUGAGG
Lonchura striata (white-rumped munia) is the source of this 3140-nucleotide non-coding RNA. The record is from RefSeq and is a predicted model, not a curated record. Lineage: Eukaryota; Metazoa; Chordata; Aves; Passeriformes; Estrildidae.